This 252-nucleotide ribosomal RNA is filed under the name uncultured prokaryote. RNAcentral describes it as "partial 16S rRNA". It matches the Rfam family "Archaeal small subunit ribosomal RNA", at positions 475 to 726 of the family's 1478-position model. The record is from RNAcentral.
ACCGGCAGCUCAAGUGGUGGCCAUUUUUAUUGGGCCUAAAGCGUUCGUAGCCGGUUUGAUAAGUCUCUGGUGAAAUCCCGCAGCUUAACUGUGGGACUUGCUGGAGAUACUAUUAGACUUGAGGUCGGGAGAGGUUAGGGGUACUCCCAGGGAAGGGGUGAAAUCCGAUAAUCCUGGGAGGAGAGCAACGGGAGACGGGGCCGAGCUGGAACUUAGCUCACCGUGAGUAGCGUAAUUCACUUGCGCGACAAG